UACCAGCACCCCGAGUGGUCGGGACGUUUAUUGGGCGUAAAGAGCGCGUAGGCGGGUUUUUAAGUCAGAUGUGAAAUCCCGGGGCUCAACCCCGGAACAGCAUUUGAAACUGAGAAUCUUGAGGGUAGUCGGAGAAAAUGGAAUUCCACGUGUAGCGGUGAAAUGCGUAGAUAUGUGGAAGAACACCGGUGGCGAAGGCGAUUUUCUAGAUUAUUCCUGACGCUGAGGCGCGAAAGCAAGGGGAUCAAACAGG
Molecule: ribosomal RNA, 253 nt
Filed under: uncultured bacterium
Lineage: Bacteria
Description: partial 16S ribosomal RNA
Rfam family: Bacterial small subunit ribosomal RNA (bases 27-253)
Source: RNAcentral